AUCACCUGGAGAUCUUGUUAAAAUGCAGAUUCUGAUUCAGUAGGUCUGGGGUGAACCCUGAGAUUCUGCAUCUCUAACAAGCUCCCCGGUGAUGUAGA
This 98-nucleotide microRNA precursor is filed under the name Bos taurus (domestic cattle). Its description in RNAcentral is "mir-544 microRNA precursor family". It matches the Rfam family "mir-544 microRNA precursor family". RNAcentral also lists the same sequence under 4 other names. Lineage: Eukaryota; Metazoa; Chordata; Mammalia; Artiodactyla; Bovidae. The record is from Rfam by way of RNAcentral.